CGCUAUCAUCCUACGGCAGGCAGCAGUGGGGGAAUAUUGCACAAUGGGCGCAAGCCUGAUGCAGCCAUGCCGCGUGUAUGAAGAAGGCCUUCGGGUUGUAAAGUACUUUCAGCAGUGAGGAAGGUGGUAGUGUUAAUAGCACUAUCAUUUGACGUUAGCUGCAGAAGAAGCACCGGCUAACUCCGUGCCAGCAGCCGCGGUAAUACGGAGGGUGCGAGCGUUAAUCGGAAUUACUGGGCGUAAAGCGCAUGCAGGUGGUUUGUUAAGUCAGAUGUGAAAGCCCGGGGCUCAACCUCGGAAUUGCAUUUGAAACUGGCAGACUAGAGUACUGUAGAGGGGGUAGAAUUUCAGGUGUAGCGGUGAAAUGCGUAGAGAUCUGAAGGAAUACCGGUGGCGAAGGCGGCCCCCUGGACAGAUACUGACACUCAGAUGCGAAAGCGUGGGGAGCAAACAGGAUUAGAUACCCUGGUAG
This 472-nucleotide ribosomal RNA is filed under the name uncultured bacterium. Its description in RNAcentral is "bacterial SSU rRNA". It matches the Rfam family "Bacterial small subunit ribosomal RNA", at positions 329 to 793 of the family's 1533-position model. The record is from RNAcentral.